Molecule: ribosomal RNA, 1087 nt
Filed under: uncultured bacterium
Lineage: Bacteria
Description: bacterial SSU rRNA
Rfam family: Bacterial small subunit ribosomal RNA
Source: RNAcentral
ACUGGGCUUUAAGACCAAGGGGAAGGAAAAUUAGGACCAGUACCUUGGUAGAAUUAAGGCCCCGGCUUACUUAUGUGCCCAGCAGCCCGGCGUUAUACAUAGGGGGGCAGGCGUUAUCCCGGGAUUAUUGGGGUGUUAAAGGGUGCCGUAGAUGGGAGGAAGCCAAGUUGGGUGUGGAAAUCCCUUCCGCCUUAACCUGAGGAACCUGCAACCCAAAACCUACUUCCCUUUGAGUGUCCGGAGAGGAAAGUGGAAUUCCUAGUGUAGCGGUGAAAUGCGUAGAUAUUAGGAGGAACACCAGUGGCGAAGGCGACUUUCUGGACGAUAACUGACAUUGAGGCACGAAAGUGUGGGGAGCAAACAGGAUUAGAUACCCUGGUAGUCCACACUGUAAACGAUGGAUACUAGGUGUAGGAUGUAUUAAGCAUUCUGUGCCGCCGCUAACGCAUUAAGUAUCCCACCUGGGGAGUACGACCGCAAGGUUGAAACUCAAAGGAAUUGACGGGGGCCCGCACAAGCAGUGGAGUAUGUGGUUCAAUUCGAAGCAACGCGAAGAACCUUACCAGGUCUUGACAUCGGUGUAAAGCCUAAGAGAUUAGGUGUGACUUCGGUCGAUACCAGACAGGUGGUGCAUGGUUGUCGUCAGCUCGUGUCGUGAGAUGUUGGGUUAAGUCCCGCAACGAGCGCAACCCCUAUGGUCAGUUACUAACGCGUGGUGGCGAGGACUCUGACAAGACUGCCGGGGACAACUCGGAGGAAGGUGGGGACGACGUCAAAUCAUCAUGCCCCUUAUGACCUGGGCUACAAACGUGCUACAAUGGUGGUUACAAAGAGGGGCGAGCCCGCAAGGGUAAGCGGAUCUCAAAAAAGCCAUCACAGUUCGGAUUGUGGGCUGCAACCCGCCCACAUGAAGCUGGAGUUGCUAGUAAUCGCGGAUCAGCAUGCCGCGGUGAAUACGUUCCCGGGCCUUGUACACACCGCCCGUCAUACCAUGGGAGUUGGGAGCACCCGAAGCCGGUGAGUUGACCGAGAGGGGACAACCGUCGAAGGUGAGACCGAUGACUGGGGUGAAGUCGUAACAAGGUAG